Molecule: ribosomal RNA, 301 nt
Filed under: uncultured bacterium
Lineage: Bacteria
Description: partial 16S ribosomal RNA
Rfam family: Bacterial small subunit ribosomal RNA
Source: RNAcentral
CAGUCGCCGCGGGAAUACGUAGGGUGCAAGCGUUAAUCGGAAUUACUGGGCGUAAAGCGUGCGCAGGCGGUUAUGUAAGACAGAUGUGAAAUCCCCGGGCUUAACCUGGGAACUGCAUUUGUGACUGCAUAGCUAGAGUACGGUAGAGGGGGAUGGAAUUCCGCGUGUAGCAGUGAAAUGCGUAGAUAUGCGGAGGAACACCGAUGGCGAAGGCAAUCCCCUGGACCUGUACUGACGCUCAUGCACGAAAGCGUGGGGAGCAAACAGGAUUAGAUACCCGAGUAGUCCCUGUCUCUUAUAC